Molecule: ribosomal RNA, 1058 nt
Filed under: Pseudarthrobacter defluvii
Lineage: Bacteria; Bacillati; Actinomycetota; Actinomycetes; Micrococcales; Micrococcaceae
Description: bacterial SSU rRNA
Rfam family: Bacterial small subunit ribosomal RNA
Source: RNAcentral
GUCGACGAUGAACCAGCUUGCUGGUGGAUUAGUGGCGAACGGGUGAGUAACACGUGAGUAACCUGCCCUUGACUCUGGGAUAAGCCUGGGAAACUGGGUCUAAUACCGGAUAUGACCUUCUAUCGCAUGGUGGUUGGUGGAAAGCUUUUGUGGUUUUGGAUGGACUCGCGGCCUAUCAGCUUGUUGGUGGGGUAAUGGCCUACCAAGGCGACGACGGGUAGCCGGCCUGAGAGGGUGACCGGCCACACUGGGACUGAGACACGGCCCAGACUCCUACGGGAGGCAGCAGUGGGGAAUAUUGCACAAUGGGCGCAAGCCUGAUGCAGCGACGCCGCGUGAGGGAUGACGGCCUUCGGGUUGUAAACCUCUUUCAGUAGGGAAGAAGCCGUAAGGUGACGGUACCUGCAGAAGAAGCGCCGGCUAACUACGUGCCAGCAGCCGCGGUAAUACGUAGGGCGCAAGCGUUAUCCGGAAUUAUUGGGCGUAAAGAGCUCGUAGGCGGUUUGUCGCGUCUGCCGUGAAAGUCCGGGGCUCAACUCCGGAUCUGCGGUGGGUACGGGCAGACUAGAGUGAUGUAGGGGAGACUGGAAUUCCUGGUGUAGCGGUGAAAUGCGCAGAUAUCAGGAGGAACACCGAUGGCGAAGGCAGGUCUCUGGGCAUUAACUGACGCUGAGGAGCGAAAGCAUGGGGAGCGAACAGGAUUAGAUACCCUGGUAGUCCAUGCCGUAAACGUUGGGCACUAGGUGUGGGGGACAUUCCACGUUUUCCGCGCCGUAGCUAACGCAUUAAGUGCCCCGCCUGGGGAGUACGGCCGCAAGGCUAAAACUCAAAGGAAUUGACGGGGGCCCGCACAAGCGGCGGAGCAUGCGGAUUAAUUCGAUGCAACGCGAAGAACCUUACCAAGGCUUGACAUGAACCGGUAACGCCUGGAAACAGGUGCCCCACUUUGUGGUCGGUUUACAGGUGGUGCAUGGUUGUCGUCAGCUCGUGUCGUGAGAUGUUGGGUUAAGUCCCGCAACGAGCGCAACCCUCGUUCUAUGUUGCCAGCACNUGAUGGU